CCACAGCACACGCCUCACACAUACCCGAUGUCCGAGCACAACGGGCCACAAACGAUGUGUUGCGGCUGAUCGCACUCGCGUGCGAUCGAUCGCUUUACUUACACACACAGACACACACACGCACAUGAGCGAUCUACGCCUAGAGCUGUAGAGCUGAACCAUCGAUACCCGUCUCUUUAGAGCUUCGGAAAGGAAUCUGCAGAGCGCGGAGGGGACGGGAAGCUAGCCCCCAACGCCCAACGACCUCUUAGGACAUGCCUGCCAUUUCUGGCUUACUAGACUUCAAGAUACCACGUAGUUGGAUAGUCAGUCCUCACUACGGGGGAACGUUCCAGGAUGGGAUUUGAACCCCGCUUCUGGAGGUCGCCCCUCAACUCAACCUAACAAACUCCAAUCCGCACCAAACUACCAAUAAGGAUAUAUCAAUGUUUCAAAGUCGGCCAAUACCCCGUCGGAGAUGACCCUUCGGAACGAGUCUGCGUAACGCGGUGGAUGAUUCCUAUCCAGCAUAGCUUCGAACCUGCAAAACCCCUUCGAAACAGGAUCAGCGCUAGGAAAACAAAACAGAAAAAGCUUUGCAUUGCCACAGUGGUCGUUUGCCAGGAAAAAAGUCUAAAAAUCAACUUUGUGGAAUUUUUUGUGGGAUUUUUUUAACUAAUCCAUAAAAAUACCACUUUGACAGGUUGAAAAGUUAUAACACUAAGUGUAUAAAAAUCCCACAAUAAUAUUUUGAUUUCAUGUCAGUAGUAGUAGUAAAGUAUUAGUCAUCUCCACCGUACAUUUUCACUAUUUUUAGGUUAAUGACCAUUUUGUUUAUAAACUAUCAAAUUCGAAAUUGAUUAUUUUUUAAUCGUUUUUAUUAAGCUUUUAAUUCUUCUGUUUUGUAAACUUUAUUUUUUCUGAUGGAAUUCUAGAACAAAAACAAGCUUUCCUUUUCUUCUUCUUCUUGCUGGAUUAACGACCUGCGUGGUAAUGGUGGUCAUUUAAACAAACUGCGUAGGUGGAUAGCCAUUCAUCUCUACAUAUGAUUCCUGAGCUAUAGUUCAUCAUUGCUCUCUCUCUCUCUUGAGAACAUCUCGUCCUAAAAUAAUGGCAGCUUUAUGAAGUUACUACAUUAAAUUACUCAAAUUUACAUAAAUUCUUUAUUAUUAUCUACACAUUUAGUUGAAAAAGAAACAAAAAUAAUUUUAUCCUGAUAUUUGUUCUGCACUGACCACUGUGCAGCAUUGUUGCGGACGACUUGCGUGUACUCGCCAUUUACAGAUCCUCCAGUCCUCCUCCGAGGAGCGCUGUGAGUAUUGUGCCGGAGGGGGGGGGGAGGGACUUCCUUUCACUGCACAAGCGUCGAUUAUGACGAAACGUUUGCUAGCGUCACAGCUGAGUGUCGCGUAAGUGAGAGAUUGCUUGCAGGAGUUCAAGUUCAAGAUCGCCGAAGGUUCGCCUUAUGCUUUCGGGCAAGGACAAGGAGUGCACUGUGGACGAGCAAUGUACAGUGUGAUAUGCAGUCUUAUGCCGGCUUUGUCAAACUGUUACGCCUGCAUCCCGUACAUUGAACUUAACCCGUACGGCUGAUAGCUACUUCUGGCCGCGCAGGUGCCCUUCAGCGUGCAAUUCGACCAUGCCUGUUUGCCAAGGUUAGGGACAUACCGAAAACUGGUUGCUUGCGAAACAGUACAGUGAUUCGGCCCAGUUGCACGAACAUGAUUGACAAUCUUCGCGCGCCAUUCGAGUUCGCUGACCGUUCGCCAAUCUCCCGUUGAUGAUCAAUUGACGACGCGGGAAUGUAAUGGCUUCCCGUCGAACGAUUAACUGAGGAAGAGCACACAGCACAGCUAUUGCACAGCUAAAGCUGCGUCGCGUAAAUCUUUACAUCAGCCAGGAUGCAUUAUGCCGAUUGGCGAUAAUUCGAUAAUUCAAUAAAACCUCUUAAUACCCCCCGACAUUCCAUCCCCCAGUCCAGUCGCCAUUUUUUUUCCUUGCACCCGGCAUGCACCCGGGACGCGUGGUCCCACCCGCGAACUACUGCACUUGCGGUGCCUGUGUUCACUACUGCCCUAAGGUGUGCUGCCACCGGUGUGGUCUUUGAACGUCCGCCAUUAGCCAUUGGUUACGAUGCCCACCUGUGGCGGUUUGCGCAUCGGACAACGGACGCCUGCUGGGUGUGAAAAUGUUGAUAAACGCAGAGCCAACACCGAUGGACACCCAAAUUGCCAUCCGUUUAAAUAUGCGCCCAUAAACUGUAUACCCACGAUAUACUACAUCUCCGUUUAAAGUUAUUCGCUGCCUGCAAUAAUGUCAUUUUAGAGACGUUUCUCUUUGGUGAACGACAAGAUCAGUUUUGUGAUGUUACAGAUCAUGCUGAGAUGCGUCGGCUGGGAAAGGAUUUGCCCAAGCCGUUACGUCCAUAUGACGCCCUCCACCAUUCAAAUCCAACGCAAUCUCUCUGCACGCUUAAGUUUGUUGGAGUAUUCAGGCACAAGGGGACCUUCUGUAUUCUUCUAACUGCGCAAAAGUCAAACAGGAUGA
Anopheles stephensi (Asian malaria mosquito) is the source of this 2526-nucleotide long non-coding RNA. RefSeq lists it as uncharacterized. The record is from RefSeq and is a predicted model, not a curated record. The transcript has 3 exons. Lineage: Eukaryota; Metazoa; Arthropoda; Insecta; Diptera; Culicidae.